UUAAGACAUAUAAAUAUUCCGGACUAAUAAUAUCAACUGAUAAAAAUCCAAAGAAAUUGGCGGUGUCUCAUAUACCCAGGGGAACCUGUUUCUUAAUUCGAUAAUCCACGAAAAUAUUUCCACUUUUUGAAAUAUCAGCCUGUGUACUGCUGUCGUCAGUAAACCUUUAAAAGAAAGUUUACAAUAAUAACUUAUAUUAUUUACGUCAAGUCAAAGUGCAGCCAAUAAAAUGGAGAAUAAUGGGUUACAAUCUCUGAAAUAGAAACUGUAUAAAUAAAUAAAAAUUUUAGAUCGGUGGACUUGGAAGUAAUAAUUAUAUAUAAUUAAUAUAAAUAAUUUAUCUGAGACAUGCACACAUCGCCCGUCGCUCUCAUUCAAUAUG
RNAcentral lists this ribosomal RNA (382 nucleotides) under Stephensoniella sterreri. RNAcentral describes it as "partial 12S ribosomal RNA". Lineage: Eukaryota; Metazoa; Annelida; Clitellata; Enchytraeida; Enchytraeidae. The record is from RNAcentral.